UACAGAGGGUGCUAGCGUUGUUCGGAAUUAUUGGGCGUAAAGGGCGCGUAGGCGGCCCUGUGUGUCGGGUGUGAAAGCCCACCUCUUAAAGGUGGAAUUGCAUUCGAAACUACAGGGCUGGAGUGUCGGAGAGGAUGGCGGAAUUCCUGGUGUAGAGGUGAAAUUCGUAGAUAUCAGGAGGAACACCGGUGGCGAAGGCGGCCAUCUGGACGACAACUGACGCUGAGG
This 228-nucleotide ribosomal RNA is filed under the name uncultured bacterium. Its description in RNAcentral is "partial 16S ribosomal RNA". It matches the Rfam family "Bacterial small subunit ribosomal RNA", at positions 524 to 751 of the family's 1533-position model. The record is from RNAcentral.